UUCCAUCUGACGAGUCCUAAGUAGGACGAAAUGCGCGUCGAGCUGGAU
Schistosoma haematobium is the source of this 48-nucleotide non-coding RNA. The record is from Rfam. NCBI's taxonomy places the organism in Eukaryota, Metazoa, Platyhelminthes, Trematoda, Strigeidida, Schistosomatidae.